This 253-nucleotide ribosomal RNA is filed under the name uncultured bacterium. RNAcentral describes it as "partial 16S ribosomal RNA". It matches the Rfam family "Bacterial small subunit ribosomal RNA", at positions 524 to 776 of the family's 1533-position model. The record is from RNAcentral.
UACGAAGGGGGCUAGCGUUGUUCGGAGUUACUGGGCGUAAAGGGCGCGUAGGCGGCCCUCCAAGUCAGGCGUGAAAGCCCCGGGCUCAACCCGGGAAUAGCGCUUGAGACUGGGGGGCUUGAGUUCGGGAGAGGAGAGUGGAAUUCCCAGUGUAGAGGUGAAAUUCGUAGAUAUUGGGAAGAACACCGGUGGCGAAGGCGGCUCUCUGGACCGACACUGACGCUGAGGCGCGAAAGCGUGGGGAGCAAACAGG